This 386-nucleotide ribosomal RNA is filed under the name uncultured bacterium. RNAcentral's name for it is "partial 16S ribosomal RNA". It matches the Rfam family "Bacterial small subunit ribosomal RNA", at positions 417 to 805 of the family's 1533-position model. The record is from RNAcentral.
UUCNGAUUGUAAACNUCUUUUAGACAGGGGCAGANGCNAGCAGUGCACUGGUNCCUGCNGUAAAAAGCACCNNCCUAACUACUUGCCAGCAGCCGCGGUAAUACUNUAGGGUGCAAGCGUUAUCCGGAAUUAUUGGGCGUAAAGAGCUCGUAGGCGGUUUGUCGCGUCUGCUGUGAAAUCCCGAGGCUCAACCUCGGGCCUGCAGUGGGUACGGGCAGACUAGAGUGCGGUAGUGGAGAUUGGAAUUCCUGGUGUNGCGGUGGAAUGCNCACAUAUCAGGGAGGAACACCGAUGGCGAAGGCAGAUCUCUGGGCCGUAACUGACGCUGAGGAGCGAAAGGGUGGGGAGCAAACAGGAUUAGUAUACCCUGGUAGUCCAAGGGCGAA